This 490-nucleotide ribosomal RNA is filed under the name uncultured bacterium. RNAcentral's name for it is "partial 16S ribosomal RNA". It matches the Rfam family "Bacterial small subunit ribosomal RNA", at positions 30 to 507 of the family's 1533-position model. The record is from RNAcentral.
AUUGAACGCUGGCGGCAGGCCUAACACAUGCAAGUCGAACGGUAACAGGAAGCAGCUUGCUGCUUCGCUGACGAGUGGCGGACGGGUGAGUAAUGUCUGGGAAGCUGCCUGAUGGAGGGGGAUAACUACUGGAAACGGUAGCUAAUACCGCAUAAUGUCGCAAGACCAAAGAGGGGGACCUUCGGGCCUCUUGCCAUCGGAUGUGCCCAGAUGGGAUUAGCUUGUUGGUGGGGUAACGGCUCACCAAGGCGACGAUCCCUAGCUGGUCUGAGAGGAUGACCAGCCACACUGGAACUGAGAUACGGUCCAGACUCCUACGGGAGGCAGCAGUGGGGAAUAUUGCACAAUGGGCGCAAGCCUGAUGCAGCCAUGCCGCGUGUAUGAAGAAGGCCUUCGGGUUGUAAAGUACUUUCAGCGGGGAGGAAGGGAGUAAAGUUAAUACCUUUGCUCAUUGACGUUACCCGCAGAAGAAGCACCGGCUAACUCCGUG